This 2167-nucleotide small RNA is filed under the name Pan troglodytes (chimpanzee). RNAcentral describes it as "retained intron". Lineage: Eukaryota; Metazoa; Chordata; Mammalia; Primates; Hominidae. The record is from RNAcentral.
GCUCAAUGGGAAGGAGACUUCCUGCUGGGGGAGGUAUGGGAGGGAGGGGGGAGAGGCAUGAGGAAAUCCAAGUGGCCUUGUACAUUUUUCUCUUUCAUCAUUAUCCAUAUCUUGAUUCUAGAACUUUAUUUUCUGGUGUCUCAGAAAGUUAAGAAACCAGUGUCUUCAAAAGUGAGAACCUUCAUUCAGACCCAUGCGUAUUAUUGGAUUAUUAUUUUUGGCUAUGUAAGGGAGCCUCAUUGACCCAUUUUUUUGUUUUAAAUUCUUAUUUAAAUGUCUGCAAUAAUGACAUUUUUGUAACUGGCCCUUGCUGGACACUGGAUCGGUGUGAACAUUCACUUCCUCCUGUGUAGUUGGACUACCUUCUGGAGCAAUUCUUUCCCUUCCUAAGGCUUUGCUGGAUCCCCGCCGCCCCGAGAUCCCAACAGAACAAAGCAGGUGAGACCCUCAUGGGCAGUGCUGAAGGCUCUGACCUUACAUAACUUAACCUCACUGAUUAAGCUUGGUUCUUCGUCUCCGUGUGCCUUCAUGCUGUGCUAGGGGCUGGGGAUGUAGCAGGGGGCAAGUCUGAAAAAGUCACCUGCCCUCAUGGAGCUUACAUGGACAAUAAAUACAUAAGAUAAACAAGUAAAAUAUAUACUAUGUUAGGUACUCAAAUGCUAAGCAGAGUAAAACAGGAAUGAGCUAGAAAGUGGGGAUGGGGAUGUGCGUGGGUGUAAUUUGAGAGGUGGCCUGGGAAAGCCCCUUUGAGAAGGUGCAUUUUGAGUGAAGGCCUGAAGGAGGUGAAGGAGCUAGCUGUGUAGAUACCUGAGGAAGAACUUUCUAGGCAGAGGGAACAGGCAAUGCAAAUCCCCUGAGAUCAUGUCUGGUGAGUUUGCGGAGGGCAACGCUAGGAAAUGAGAUCACUGAGGUAAUUCGGGCCAGACCAUGUGGGCAAGCCAAUAUCUUAUUCACUGUUGGUAUUGUUGUAUUAACAACCACCAUCUUGUUGGGUUUUCUUACCUCCAUCCUGAAUUUCUUUGCCUAGGGGCAUGAGGAAUGGAGAGGAGUGUGUUUUGGAGAAGUAUAUGAGAGAGAGGAGGUUAAAGCUAGGAAAAGACACAGGAUGAUAAUCAGGUUUCAGAGAAAUGGAGACUGAGAGGCACCCUGGAGUGGAGAGCAGGAAUUAGCUUAGUGGUUCAGUGUGUUGGCUUUAAAAUGGUCGGCUUUCCUCUUGUGGUGUGAAGUGCCAGUCAUCUGUAUGUUCUUUCUUUUCAGAUUUAGAACAAACUAGGAAUCUAGAUCUCAGUCUUACUCUCCAGAGAGCUUCCUUUCUUGUAGUCCUUCCUAACAUUCAGCUGCUAAAUUUUUAACUACCUAAUGCAAGCAGACCUCCUAGGAGAUUUGAGGCUAGAUAUGUAGCCUGGAAACCUCCCAGGACUCAGGAAGGGCAGCCAAGAGAUCCCUUUACAGCAGUGCUCAGACUGCCUGUCCCGGCUGGUGUUUUGCAGAGAGGAGAACUUAAUCCCGUAUUCUCCAGAUGUACAGAUACACGCAGAGCGAUUCAUCAACUAUAACCAGACAGUUUCUCGAAUGCGAGGUAUCUACACAGCUCCCUCGGGUCUGGAGUCCACUUGUUUGGUUGUGGCCUAUGGUUUGGACAUUUACCAAACUCGAGUCUACCCAUCCAAGCAGUUUGACGUUCUGAAGGAUGACUAUGACUACGUGUUAAUCAGUAGCGUCCUCUUUGGCCUGGUUUUUGCCACCAUGAUCACUAAGAGACUGGCACAGGUGAAGCUCCUGAAUCGGGCCUGGCGAUAAAGACCAAAGACUGUGCCUAAAAGUGGAGAGCCAGGGGAGUGUGGGUCAGAUAAGCAGCUACAGCUGCAGUUUGGUGGAUUGGUGGAGUAUGUGUGUGUGUCAGUGCUCAGCUGAGAACUGUAGGGAAGAAGAUGGAUGACCUUCACGCAGAACUCCUUUUGGGAUACACAUGAUGCAGAAAGGAUCCUACAUGGAGAGAGACAGAACUCUCUCAGCUGACACUCUCAGAGAUUCCUGAUGGGCUUUCCCUUGAAGUCCAAAGGCGUCUGCAAUUGUUUCCUUUCUUUGCCCAUCCAUGAAUGUUCUGUUUUGUUUUGUUUUUUUUAAUAAGAAUUCCGGCUGAUUUUUGUGAGGCCUGUUUAAAUUG